CCUACGGGGGGCAGCAGUGGGGAAUAUUGCACAAUGGGCGCAAGCCUGAUGCAGCCAUGCCGCGUGUGUGAAGAAGGCCUUCGGGUUGUAAAGCACUUUCAGCGGGGAGGAAGGCGGUGAGGUUAAUAACCUCAUCGAUUGACGUUACCCGCAGAAGAAGCACCGGCUAACUCCGUGCCAGCAGCCGCGGUAAUACGGAGGGUGCAAGCGUUAAUCGGAAUUACUGGGCGUAAAGCGCACGCAGGCGGUCUGUCAAGUCGGAUGCGAAAUCCCCGGGCUCAACCUGGGAACUGCAUUCGAAACUGGCAGGCUAGAGGCUUGUAGAGGGGGGUAGAAUUCCAGGUGUAGCGGUGAAAUGCGUAGAGAUCUGGAGGAAUACCGGUGGCGAAGGCGGCCCCCUGGACAAAGACUGACGCUCAGGUGCGAAAGCGUGGGGAGCAAACAGGAUUAGAUACCCCGGUAGUC
RNAcentral lists this ribosomal RNA (465 nucleotides) under uncultured Klebsiella sp. RNAcentral describes it as "bacterial SSU rRNA". It matches the Rfam family "Bacterial small subunit ribosomal RNA", at positions 338 to 795 of the family's 1533-position model. The record is from RNAcentral. Lineage: Bacteria; Pseudomonadati; Pseudomonadota; Gammaproteobacteria; Enterobacterales; Enterobacteriaceae.